GAUGAACGCUGGCGGCGUGCCUAAUACAUGCAAGUCGAGCGAACGGACGAGACGCUUGCUUCUCUGAUGUUAGCGGCGGACGGGUGAGUAACACGUGGAUAACCUACCUAUAAGACUGGCAUCACUUCGGGAACCCGGAGCUAAUAUCCGUUGAUAUUUUGAACCGCAUGGUUCAACAGUGAUAGACGGUCUUGCUGUCACUUAUAGAUGGAUCCGCGCUGCAUUAGCUAGUUGGUAAGGUAACGGCUUACCAAGGCAACGAUGCAUAGCCGACCUGAGAGGGUGAUCAGCCACACUGGAAAUGAGAAACGGUCCAGACUCCUACGGGAGGCAGCAGUAGGGAAUCUUCCGCAAUGGGCGAAAGCCUGACGGAGAAACGCCGCGUGAGUGAUGAAGGUCUUCGGAUCGUAAAACUCUGUUAUUAGGGAAGAACAUAUGUGUAAGUAACUGUGCACAUCUUGACGGUACCUAAACAGAAAGCCACGGCUAACUACGUG
Molecule: ribosomal RNA, 497 nt
Filed under: uncultured bacterium
Lineage: Bacteria
Description: partial 16S ribosomal RNA
Rfam family: Bacterial small subunit ribosomal RNA
Source: RNAcentral